AGUGAACGCUGGCGGUAGGCCUAACACAUGCAAGUCGAACGGCAGCACAGUAAGAGCUUGCUCUUACGGGUGGCGAGUGGCGGACGGGUGAGGAAUACAUCGGAAUCUACUUUUUCGUGGGGGAUAACGUAGGGAAACUUACGCUAAUACCGCAUACGACCUACGGGUGAAAGCAGGGGAUCUUCGGACCUUGCGCGAUUGAAUGAGCCGAUGUCGGAUUAGCUAGUUGGCGGGGUAAAGGCCCACCAAGGCGACGAUCCGUAGCUGGUCUGAGAGGAUGAUCAGCCACACUGGAGCUGAGACACGGUCCAGACUCCUACGGGAGGCAGCAGUGGGGAAUAUUGGACAAUGGGCGGAAGCCUGAUCCAGCCAUACCGCGUGGGUGAAGAAGGCCUUCGGGUUGUAAAGCCCUUUUGUUGGGAAAGAAAAGCAGCAGGUUAAUACCCCGCUGUUCUGACGGUACCCAAAGAAUAAGCACCGGCUAACUUCGUG
This 492-nucleotide ribosomal RNA is filed under the name uncultured bacterium. Its description in RNAcentral is "partial 16S ribosomal RNA". It matches the Rfam family "Bacterial small subunit ribosomal RNA", at positions 29 to 507 of the family's 1533-position model. The record is from RNAcentral.